GGGGCCGUGGUCUAGCUUGGCUAUGAUUCCAGCCUGGGGCGCUGGAGGUCCUGGGUUCGAAUCCCAGCGGCCCCACCA
This 78-nucleotide transfer RNA is filed under the name Nitrososphaerota archaeon. RNAcentral's name for it is "Thaumarchaeota archaeon tRNA-Pro". It matches the Rfam family "tRNA". From Rfam's summary of the family: Transfer RNA (tRNA) molecules are approximately 80 nucleotides in length. Their secondary structure includes four short double-helical elements and three loops (D, anti-codon, and T loops). Lineage: Archaea; Thermoproteati; Nitrososphaerota. RNAcentral also lists the same sequence under 1 other name. The record is from RNAcentral.